RNAcentral lists this long non-coding RNA (534 nucleotides) under Ornithorhynchus anatinus (platypus). RNAcentral describes it as "lncRNA (ENSOANG00000049625.1)". Lineage: Eukaryota; Metazoa; Chordata; Mammalia; Monotremata; Ornithorhynchidae. The record is from RNAcentral.
CUCUGAUUUAGUGCUUCUCUGCUGUUGCUCUUCUAUUUUUUCUACCAGCUUCCAUCUACUUGUUCAACCCCUCAGAGAUUCAUGUAAGAAAUGUCUUUGGUUUCCUAUCUUCCACCUAAUCCAGGACAUUCCUUAACUCCAACGGCACCUUACCUUUCUUGAGUUCUCCUCUUCUCUGUCCCUGUCCCUCUUAAUCCACUGAGUGAACAAAACAUUCUAAGGGAACAAAUGCUUUUGGACACGAUUGGACAACCUCUGAGAGCAGUUGACUGGGCUUUGUUGCCAUUUGUUGGGAGUUCUUAGAAUACAGUGUUUACGAGGUUGCCUGGAAGCAUAAAUGUCACCUCCAAAGGGACAGUGGACCUUAAAGGAGCAUUUCAAGAAUCAUGAAAAACUACAGCAGAAAUACUUCAGGCCUUUGGUUUCCAGGUUCUGUGGACUCAAAGUGAUUUGCAGACAUCCUCAACGGUGAGGCUCAUGGUGACCACUCAGUGCUCUUACCAUGCAUCCAUCCAGAUCCCUCUGUCCCACCGG